GCCUCGGUAGCUUAGUAGGUGGAGCGUGCGGCUGUUAACCGCAAGGUCGCCAGUUCGAAUCUGGCCCGGGGCG
This 73-nucleotide transfer RNA is filed under the name Candidatus Woesearchaeota archaeon. RNAcentral describes it as "tRNA-Asn". It matches the Rfam family "tRNA". Rfam says of the family: Transfer RNA (tRNA) molecules are approximately 80 nucleotides in length. Their secondary structure includes four short double-helical elements and three loops (D, anti-codon, and T loops). Lineage: Archaea; Nanobdellati; Candidatus Woesearchaeota. The record is from RNAcentral.